RNAcentral lists this unclassified non-coding RNA (251 nucleotides) under Hevea brasiliensis (rubber tree). Lineage: Eukaryota; Viridiplantae; Streptophyta; Magnoliopsida; Malpighiales; Euphorbiaceae. The record is from RNAcentral.
GAAUAUUGAUUGGAUUAAAGACAAUCAGUGGCAAACCACCGCCAGUAGUAACAUAGCUGCUGAUAAUAGAACCGUCAAUGAAGAUGAUGAUUAUUCAUUUGAUGCUUGGAAUGAUUUUACAAGCUCAACUAGUGUAAAAGUUCCUUCUAUUAAUUCUUUGAAACAAGAUGUUAAUUGCACAAUGCCUUCUGUUGAGCAGGAAUCAGAAAGCUUGUUCAGUGGAACUAGUAACUCAAAGGAUGUUGAUUUUG